ACAUGCAAGUCGAGCGGUAAGGCCUUUCGGGGUACACGAGCGGCGAACGGGUGAGUAACACGUGGGUGAUCUGCCCUGCACUCUGGGAUAAGCCUGGGAAACUGGGUCUAAUACCGGAUAUGACCACAGCUCGCAUGUUGUGUGGUGGAAAGAUUUAUCGGUGCAGGAUGGGCCCGCGGCCUAUCAGCUUGUUGGUGGGGUAAUGGCCUACCAAGGCGACGACGGGUAGCCGACCUGAGAGGGUGACCGGCCACACUGGGACUGAGACACGGCCCAGACUCCUACGGGAGGCAGCAGUGGGGAAUAUUGCACAAUGGGCGGAAGCCUGAUGCAGCGACGCCGCGUGAGGGAUGAAGGCCUUCGGGUUGUAAACCUCUUUCAGCAGGGACGAAGCGUGAGUGACGGUACCUGCAGAAGAAGCACCGGCUAACUACGUGCCAGCAGCCGCGGUAAUACGUAGGGUGCGAGCGUUGUCCGGAAUUACUGGGCGUAAAGAGUUCGUAGGCGGUUUGUCGCGUCGUUUGUGAAAACCCGGGGCUCAACUUCGGGCUUGCAGGCGAUACGGGCAGACUUGAGUGUUUCAGGGGAGACUGGAAUUCCUGGUGUAGCGGUGAAAUGCGCAGAUAUCAGGAGGAACACCGGUGGCGAAGGCGGGUCUCUGGGAAACAACUGACGCUGAGGAACGAAAGCGUGGGUAGCAAACAGGAUUAGAUACCCUGGUAGUCCACGCCGUAAACGGUGGGCGCUAGGUG
Molecule: ribosomal RNA, 752 nt
Filed under: Rhodococcoides fascians
Lineage: Bacteria; Bacillati; Actinomycetota; Actinomycetes; Mycobacteriales; Nocardiaceae
Description: bacterial SSU rRNA
Rfam family: Bacterial small subunit ribosomal RNA
Source: RNAcentral